AUCAAUUUAAUUUGAUUAUAUUGUGUUUAAAUUAUAAUUAAUUAAUAAAUAAAUUAAAUAUAUUUAUAUUUUAGUAUAUUAUAGAAAUAAUGAAUUUAAUUAUAGUAAAUUAGUAUAGUAAUAGAAUUUUUUUAUAAAUAUUAUAUAAGAAGAAUUAAUAAUUUGUACCUUGUGUAUCAGGGUUUAUUAAUAAAAUAUUAUUAAAUUAUAUUUCUCGAUUUUUAAUGAGUUAUUUAUAUAUUUAUAUUAUUGUUUUAUAAAUAUUUAUAAUAUAUAAAUAGUAGUGAAAUGCUAUUCAAAUUUUAAUAUAUCUAGUUUUUAAAGAAAAAAGUUUAAUUUUAUUUAUAUAGAGUAGUUAUUUAAUAUAUAAAGAAUAGAUAAUAUUUAUAUAAAUUAUAUUAUAAGGGAUAAGCUUUUUAAUAAAAUUCUAUAAAAAAAAAUUUUUUUAGUUUAAAUUGUAGAAUUAAAAAUUUUCAUCAUUUAAAAUAUGAUAAUGAAUUAAAUUAUUAGUUAAAUAAUUUAAAUUUAAUUUUAGGUUUUUUAUUUAAAAUUUAAAUGUAAUAUAAAAAGUUUAAUUUAUAAUGAUAGAAUUAGUAUAAAGUUUAUAGUUAAUAAUAGUUUAAAGUUAAGGUUAAAUAAAGGAAUUCGGCAAAUAUUAUUUUUCGCCUGUUUAUUAAAAACAUGUCUUUUUGAUAUUAAUUAAAAGUCUAGCCUGCCCACUGAUUCUUUAAUUUUUAAAUGGCCGCAGUAUUUUGACUGUGCAAAGGUAGCAUAAUCAUUAGUUUCUUAAUUAGAAACUAGAAUGAAUGGCUGGACGAGAAAGUAACUGUCUUUAAAUAAUUAUAUUAGAAUUUUAUUUUUAAGUUAAAAAGCUUAAAUAUUAUUAAAAGACGAGAAGACCCUAUAGAAUUUUAUAUAUUUUUAAUUAUAGAUUUUUAAUUUUAAUAAUAAAAUUUUUAUAAUAAAAUAUAUUAAGUUGGGGUGAUUAAAAAAUUUAAUUAACUUUUUUUUAAAAUAAACAUUAAUUUAUGAAUAAUUGAUCCAUGAUUUAUGAUUAGAAGAUUAAAUUACCUUAGGGAUAACAGCGUAAUUUUUUUGGAGAGUUCAAAUCAAUAAAAAAGUUUGCGACCUCGAUGUUGGAUUAAAAUUAAAAAUUGGUGUAGAAGCUAAAUUAUUUAGGUCUGUUCGACCUUUAAAAUUUUACAUGAUCUGAGUUUAAACCGGUGUAAGCCAGGUUGGUUUCUAUCUUUAAUUUUUUAUAAUAUUUUAGUACGAAAGGACCAAGUAUUAUUAAAAGUUAAUUUAUUAUUUAGAAUAUUAGUAAUUA
Molecule: ribosomal RNA, 1327 nt
Filed under: Staphylinidae sp. BMNH 1274637
Lineage: Eukaryota; Metazoa; Arthropoda; Insecta; Coleoptera; Staphylinidae
Description: 16S ribosomal RNA
Source: RNAcentral